AUGGCUACUGUACUGAAACAAACAAACCGGGCUGAAGAAGCCAUCGAUGCGAUAAGAUCCUUCCGUGACUGUUGUCCAAAUGAAGCUCGGGAGUCUCUUGACAAUAUUCUUCUUGACCUAUACAAGAAAUGCCGUAGGACAAAAGAGCAGAUUGAAAUGCUGAUAGUGAAGCUGAGAAUGGUUGAUGUGGAUCUAGCUUCUGGCCGGUGGAAAGCAAAGCUGUCUAAAUCUCAUGGAAGAGUAGUCUAUCUCUCUUUGAGGGAUGAAAAGGCAAGGUUGUUGGGUAACCUCGCCUGGGCCUAUAUGCAACCUGAUAACUACGAGGAGGCUGAAAUGCUCUACAAGUAUAUAUCUCGGCCUUGA
This 363-nucleotide ribosomal RNA is filed under the name Triticum aestivum (bread wheat). Its description in RNAcentral is "partial small subunit ribosomal RNA". Lineage: Eukaryota; Viridiplantae; Streptophyta; Magnoliopsida; Poales; Poaceae. The record is from RNAcentral.